UUUAAGCUUCCUACGGGAGGCUGCAGUGGGGAAUCUUGCGCAAUGGGCGAAAGCCUGACGCAGCCAUGCCGCGUGAAUGAUGAAGGUCUUAGGAUUGUAAAAUUCUUUCACCGGGGACGAUAAUGACGGUACCCGGAGAAGAAGCCCCGGCUAACUUCGUGCCAGCAGCCGCGGUAAUACGAAGGGGGCUAGCGUUGCUCGGAAUUACUGGGCGUAAAGGGAGCGUAGGCGGACAUUUAAGUCAGGGGUGAAAUCCCGGGGCUCAACCUCGGAAUUGCCUUUGAUACUGGGUGUCUUGAGUAUGAGAGAGGUGUGUGGAACUCCGAGUGUAGAGGUGAAAUUCGUAGAUAUUCGGAAGAACACCAGUGGCGAAGGCGACACACUGGCUCAUUACUGACGCUGAGGCUCGAAAGCGUGGGGAGCAAACAGGAUUAGAUACCCUUGUAGUCGAAUUCUU
Molecule: ribosomal RNA, 457 nt
Filed under: uncultured bacterium
Lineage: Bacteria
Description: bacterial SSU rRNA
Rfam family: Bacterial small subunit ribosomal RNA
Source: RNAcentral